Mesoplodon densirostris (Blainville's beaked whale) is the source of this 2361-nucleotide RNA transcript. It is a transcript of the gene named GDP-mannose 4,6-dehydratase, with no coding region annotated. NCBI's taxonomy places the organism in Eukaryota, Metazoa, Chordata, Mammalia, Artiodactyla, Ziphiidae. The record is from RefSeq and is a predicted model, not a curated record. The transcript is spliced from 9 exons.
CGCCGGCCUCCCGGGCGGCCCUGUCAGAGUGCGGCGGCGGGCGGCGCGGGGCUGGUCUUUGCAGCUGGCGAGGAGGCUCGCGCGGCACACCCCCGUUGGUCGGCGCCUCUCUUCAGCGCGCGCGGACAUGGCCCAGGCAGCGGCGCACUGCCCCAGCGCCCGCGGCUCCGGGGACGGCGAGACGGGAAAGCCCAGGAAGGUGGCGCUCAUCACAGGCAUCACGGGCCAGGACGGCUCCUACUUGGCUGAGUUCCUGCUGGAGAAGGGCUACGAGGUCCAUGGAAUUGUACGGCGAUCCAGUUCAUUCAAUACUGGUCGAAUUGAACAUCUGUAUAAGAACCCCCAGGCUCAUAUUGAAGGAAACAUGAAACUGCACUAUGGUGACCUCACCGACAGUACCUGCCUCGUAAAGAUCAUCAAUGAAGUGAAGCCGACCGAGAUCUACAACCUCGGAGCCCAGAGCCACGUCAAGAUUUCUUUUGACCUGGCUGAAUAUACUGCGGACGUCGAUGGGGUCGGCACCUUACGGCUUCUGGAUGCAGUGAAGACCUGUGGCCUUAUCAACUCUGUGAAGUUCUACCAAGCCUCAACAAGCGAGCUUUAUGGGAAAGUGCAGGAAAUACCGCAGAAGGAGACCACUCCUUUCUACCCGCGCUCGCCAUACGGGGCAGCAAAGCUCUAUGCCUAUUGGAUUGUGGUGAACUUCCGGGAGGCGUAUAAUCUGUUUGCAGUGAAUGGCAUCCUCUUCAAUCAUGAGAGCCCCAGGAGAGGAGCUAAUUUUGUUACUCGAAAAAUUAGCCGGUCAGUAGCUAAGAUUUACCUUGGACAACUGGAAUGCUUCAGCUUGGGGAAUCUGGAUGCCAAACGAGAUUGGGGCCACGCCAAGGACUACGUGGAGAGAUCCAUGGUGACUCUGUGGCCAGACGUGAAGGAGCAUGUUGGUGACACUGUGUUUGUCUCGGAGUCUGCCGGUCCUUGUUUAGGUGCUUUUACAGAUUUCCUGUGCUCGGGAGACUAUUUCUGUCCUCAAUGAUGCCUCUCUGGGAAACCGGAUCUGGUUUCCUAAGCAAACAAGCAGUUCCCUUGCUAACCCAGAGGGAAAAAGAUACAUGACAUUUUGAAAACAGGCCAGAAAAAUUCAACACAAAGGCCUGAGACUGUUACGUAAACACACAAGUAACAAGACGACUGUCUGUGAGCCCAGUGGGUCUGCGGCAAGGACCAUGCCGUCAUCUCAUCCCCAAAUGCCCAGGGUACCACUGCUCCUGGGUGUUGCACAACCGUGGCACAAAGGGCCCACAUUUGUAUUUGUUUAACAGCAAAGUAUUUCAGAAACACUGUGGCUCAAAGACCUCAAAAAGGUCUUCCCAAAUGAUGUCAUUUUGAAGAUUCCUUGCCGAGAUGUGUCAGUACAGCAACCGCAGGAGCCAAGAUAUCCGGGAGAGUAAGACGUGAGGGUUGAGAGGUUCUGGCUUUUCAGCAAGAGUGUCACAUGUUCCGAUUUCACAAACACACAUACAAAGUUAAGUCAUUCUCGUUGGCGUUCAAAGCCUGAUUUGUUCCAUAAUACAGGUGGGUUUUGCAUAUUAAGGAUUCCCUUGGCUCCGACAGUAACCCAUGUUGAUGCUCUAAAAAGCAUUUGCUCACUUAUGGGUUCUGAAAGAAGUUGACAUUUCAUGAUUUCUAAAAAAAGUGUCAUCAUUAACUAAGAAUCCAUAUUUCGCUAUCUCCAUUUUAAGAAAUAUUACCAUCCUUUGCAUUUCUAAAUAUAUUAAAAUGAGGUUACUUCACAGACUUAGGAGUAAAAGUAGAUGUGGCCAAAAUUAAAAUCAACAAGGCUAAGCAUGAAAAAUGAGAAGCAUUGUUUGUUUAAAACACAUCUGCAUCCUGGCGCUUUAGAGUAGAGAAGCCUUGGCCAGCACAGAUCAAACAAGUUAUAAUAGCAUCUCAUUUACAUGUGCUUUAAUUAUGUAAUCCCUCUCAUUUAUACGUAAACGCGCUGUAUUUGUAAAUCUUUAGAUUAAGUGACUAAUAUGUUCUUAUUUAUGGAUGAAUUUUAAUGAUGAAGAGUAGAGAGCGUUUGCCAGACGGGGCGUAGGUGAUCCCAGCUGGGUCAGUGAGCCUGAGUCUUAACAAGGUUUUAUACAUCAGUUUAUCCAUCUGUGAAAAGGACAUAAUAGUCGUCCUGUUAAAAAUCAGCGUUAAUGUGCUAUACAUCCCUGAUGAGAAUCUAUCUCUUCCUUGUAAACAUUUUUCCAACAAUUUAUAGAAAGCCAUUUCCUGUUGCUGAUUCAGAUUCACUAACUUCUGUUCUUAGUCUUGUUUCCUAGAUCAAAAUGAUUUAAAAAUUAUUUAAGUGGG